RNAcentral lists this ribosomal RNA (165 nucleotides) under uncultured Exiguobacterium sp. Its description in RNAcentral is "partial 16S ribosomal RNA". It matches the Rfam family "Bacterial small subunit ribosomal RNA", at positions 368 to 529 of the family's 1533-position model. Lineage: Bacteria; Bacillati; Bacillota; Bacilli; Caryophanales. The record is from RNAcentral.
UCAANGAGAAGUCUGAUGGAGCACGCCGCGUGAACGAUGAAGGCCUUCGGGUCGUAAAGUUCUGUUGUAAGGGAAGAACAAGUGCCGCAGGCAAUGGCGGCACCUUGACGGUACCUUGCGAGAAAGCCACGGCUAACUACGUGCCAGCAGCCGCGGUAAUACGAA